Molecule: ribosomal RNA, 192 nt
Filed under: uncultured bacterium
Lineage: Bacteria
Description: partial 16S ribosomal RNA
Rfam family: Bacterial small subunit ribosomal RNA
Source: RNAcentral
AGUCUGCAACCCGACUCCAUGAAGCUGGAUUCGCUAGUAAUCGCGCAUCAGCCACGGCGCGGUGAAUACGUUCCCGGGGCCUUGUACACACCGCCCGUCAAGCCAUGGAAGCCGGGAGUGCCUGAAGUGCGUGAGCGCAAGCAGCGCCCUAAGGUAAAACCGGUGACUGGGGCUAAGUCGUAACAAGGUACC